AGCGAACGCUGGCGGCAGGCUUAACACAUGCAAGUCGAGCGGGCCCUUCGGGGUCAGCGGCAGACGGGUGAGUAACACGUGGGAACGUACCCUUUGGUUCGGAAUAACGCUGGGAAACUAGCGCUAAUACCGGAUACGCCCUUUUGGGGAAAGGCUUGCUGCCGAAGGAUCGGCCCGCGUCUGAUUAGCUAGUUGGUGGGGUAAUGGCCUACCAAGGCGACGAUCAGUAGCUGGUCUGAGAGGAUGAUCAGCCACACUGGGACUGGGACACGGCCCAGACUCCUACGGGAGGCAGCAGUGGGGAAUAUUGGACAAUGGGCGCAAGCCUGAUCCAGCCAUGCCGCGUGAGUGAUGAAGGCCUUAGGGUUGUAAAGCUCUUUUGUCCGGGACGAUAAUGACGGUACCGGAAGAAUAAGCCCCGGCUAACUUCGUG
Molecule: ribosomal RNA, 433 nt
Filed under: uncultured bacterium
Lineage: Bacteria
Description: partial 16S ribosomal RNA
Rfam family: Bacterial small subunit ribosomal RNA
Source: RNAcentral